UGGGGAAUAUUGGGCAAUGGGCGCAAGCCUGACCCAGCAACGCCGCGUGAAGGAAGAAGGCUUUCGGGUUGUAAACUUCUUUUAAGAGGGAAGAGCAGAAGACGGUACCUCUUGAAUAAGCCACGGCUAACUACGUGCCAGCAGCCGCGGUAAUACGUAGGUGGCAAGCGUUGUCCGGAUUUACUGGGUGUAAAGGGCGUGCAGCCGGGAGUGCAAGUCAGAUGUGAAAUCCCGCGGCUCAACCGCGGAACUGCAUUUGAAACUGUGCUUCUUGAGUGCUGGAGAGGCAGACGGAAUUCCUAG
This 303-nucleotide ribosomal RNA is filed under the name uncultured bacterium. RNAcentral's name for it is "bacterial SSU rRNA". It matches the Rfam family "Bacterial small subunit ribosomal RNA", at positions 355 to 673 of the family's 1533-position model. The record is from RNAcentral.